This 457-nucleotide ribosomal RNA is filed under the name uncultured bacterium. RNAcentral's name for it is "partial 16S ribosomal RNA". It matches the Rfam family "Bacterial small subunit ribosomal RNA", at positions 339 to 795 of the family's 1533-position model. The record is from RNAcentral.
CUACGGGUGGCUCCAGCCGAGAAUAUUCGACAAUGGAGGCAACUCUGAUCGAGCGACGCCGCGUGCAGGAUGAAAUCCUUCGGGAUGUAAACUGCUUUUCUUGGGGAAGAAGCUCCGACCUCGGUCGGAGUUGACGGUACCCGAGGAAUAAGCACUUGCUAACCUCGUGCCAGCAGCCGCGGUAAUACGAGGAGUGCAAGCGUUAUCCGGAGUCAUUGGGCGUAAAGGGGUGGUAGGGGGUUGUGUUAGUCCGCUGUUAAAUAUUCCCGCUCAACGGGAAAGAUGCAGGGGAAACGGCACAACUGGAGGAUGCAAGAGGCAUAUGGAACUCACGGUGUAGGGGUGAAAUCCGUUGAUAUCGUGGGGAACACCAAAGGCGAAGGCAGUAUGCUGGGGCACUUCUGACCCUGAAACACGAAAGCGUGGGGAUCAAAAAGGAUUAGAUACCCCAGUAGUC